GUGAGGAAUAUUGGGCAAUGGGCGAAAGCCUGACCCAGCCACGCCGCGUGAGUGAUGAAGGCCUUCGGGUUGUAAAGCUCUGUGGGGAGGGAAGAAAAAGCGGGAGAGUAACUGCUCUCGUGUUGACGGUACCUCCUUAGCAAGCACCGGCUAACUCUGUGCCAGCAGCCGCGGUAAUACGGAGGGUGCAAACGUUGCUCGGAAUUACUGGGCGUAAAGCGCGUGUAGGCUGACAUGCAAGUCGGGUGUGAAAUCCCAGGGCUCAACCUUGGAACUGCACUCGAAACUGCACGUCUUGAGUACUGGAGAGGGAAGCGGAAUUCCGGGUGUAGAGGUGAAAUUCGUAGAUAUCCGGAGGAACACCAGUGGCGAAGGCGGCUUCCUGGACAGUAACUGACGCUGAGACGCGAAAGCGUGGGGAGCAAACAGGAUUAGAAACCCGAGUAGUCC
RNAcentral lists this ribosomal RNA (450 nucleotides) under uncultured bacterium. RNAcentral's name for it is "partial 16S ribosomal RNA". It matches the Rfam family "Bacterial small subunit ribosomal RNA", at positions 354 to 796 of the family's 1533-position model. The record is from RNAcentral.